GGUCAAGCGAACAAGUGCAUGUGGUGGAUGCCUUGGCGAUCACAGGCGAUGAAGGACGCGGUAGCCUGCGAAAAGCCCCGGGGAGCUGGCAAACAAGCUUUGAUCCGGGGAUGUCCGAAUGGGGAAACCCACUCCGUAUGGAGUAUCCAUGACUGAAUACAUAGGUCAUGUGAAGCGAACGCGGUGAACUGAAACAUCUAAGUAACCGCAGGAAAAGAAAUCAACCGAGAUUCCCAAAGUAGUGGCGAGCGAAAUGGGAUGAGCCUUGUACUCUUUAUUUGUAUUGUUAGCCGAACGCUCUGGAAAGUGCGGCCAUAGCAGGUGAUAGCCCUGUAGGCGAAAACAGUAUGAAAGAACUAGGUGUACGACAAGUAGGGCGGGACACGUGAAAUCCUGUCUGAAGAUGGGGGGACCAUCCUCCAAGGCUAAAUACUCGUGAUCGACCGAUAGUGAACCAGUACCGUGAGGGAAAGGCGAAAAGAACCCCGGGAGGGGAGUGAAAUAGAUCCUGAAACCGCAUGCAUACAAACAGUCGGAGCCUCGUAAGGGGUGACGGCGUACCUUUUGUAUAAUGGGUCAGCGACUUACGUUCAGUAGCAAGCUUAACCGUAUAGGGCAGGCGUAGCGAAAGCGAGUCCGAAUAGGGCGUUCAGUUGCUGGGCGUAGACCCGAAACCAGGUGAUCUAUCCAUGGCCAGGAUGAAGGUGCGGUAACACGUACUGGAGGUCCGAACCCACUAACGUUGAAAAGUUAGGGGAUGAGCUGUGGAUAGGGGUGAAAGGCUAAACAAACCUGGAAAUAGCUGGUUCUCUCCGAAAACUAUUUAGGUAGUGCCUCGUGUCUCACCUUCGGGGGUAGAGCACUGUCAUGGUUGGGGGGUCUAUUGCAGAUUACCCCGCCAUAGCAAACUCCGAAUACCGAAGAGUGCAAUCACGGGAGACAGACAUCGGGUGCUAACGUCCGGUGUCAAGAGGGAAACAACCCAGACCGCCAGCUAAGGUCCCCAAAUAUGGCUAAGUGGGAAACGAAGUGGGAAGGCUAAAACAGUCAGGAGGUUGGCUUAGAAGCAGCCACCCUUUAAAGAAAGCGUAAUAGCUCACUGAUCGAGUCGUCCUGCGCGGAAGAUGUAACGGGGCUAAGCCAUAUACCGAAGCUGCGGAUGCGUGCUUGCACGCAUGGUAGGAGAGCGUUCCGUAAGCCUGCGAAGGUGUCUUGUAAAGGAUGCUGGAGGUAUCGGAAGUGCGAAUGCUGACAUGAGUAGCGAUAAAGGGGGUGAAAGGCCCCCUCGCCGUAAGCCCAAGGUUUCCUACGCAACGUUCAUCGGCGUAGGGUGAGUCGGCCCCUAAGGCGAGGCAGAAAUGCGUAGCUGAUGGGAAGCAGGUCAAUAUUCCUGCACCGUCGUUAGAUGCGAUGGGGGGACGGAUCGCGGAAGGUUGUCCGGGUGUUGGACGUCCCGGUCGCUGCAUUGGAGAAGGCGCUUAGGCAAAUCCGGGCGCAGGAUUCAAGGGUGUGGCGCGAGCGACUUCGGUCGCGAAGCAAUUGGAAGUGGUUCCAAGAAAAGCCUCUAAGCUUCAGUCUAACGAUGACCGUACCGCAAACCGACACAGGUGGGCGAGAUGAGUAUUCUAAGGCGCUUGAGAGAACUCGGGAGAAGGAACUCGGCAAAUUGGUACCGUAACUUCGGGAUAAGGUACGCCCUUGUAGCUUGACCAGCCUGCGCUGGAAGGGUGAAGGGGUUGCAAUAAACUGGUGGCUGCGACUGUUUAAUAAAAACACAGCACUCUGCAAACACGAAAGUGGACGUAUAGGGUGUGACGCCUGCCCGGUGCCGGAAGAUUAAAUGAUGGGGUGCAAGCUCUUGAUUGAAGUCCCGGUAAACGGCGGCCGUAACUAUAACGGUCCUAAGGUAGCGAAAUUCCUUGUCGGGUAAGUUCCGACCUGCACGAAUGGCGUAACGAUGGCCACACUGUCUCCUCCCGAGACUCAGCGAAGUUGAAGUGUUUGUGAUGAUGCAAUCUACCCGCGGCUAGACGGAAAGACCCCAUGAACCUUUACUGUAGCUUUGCAUUGGACUUUGAACCGAUCUGUGUAGGAUAGGUGGGAGGCUAUGAAACCGGAACGCUAGUUUCGGUGGAGCCGUCCUUGAAAUACCACCCUGGUUUGUUUGAGGUUCUAACCUUGGUCCGUGAUCCGGAUCGGGGACAGUGCAUGGUAGGCAGUUUGACUGGGGCGGUCUCCUCCCAAAGGGUAACGGAGGAGUACGAAGGUACGCUAGGUACGGUCGGAAAUCGUGCUGAUAGUGCAAUGGCAUAAGCGUGCUUAACUGCGAGACCGACAAGUCGAGCAGGUGCGAAAGCAGGUCAUAGUGAUCCGGUGGUUCUGUAUGGAAGGGCCAUCGCUCAACGGAUAAAAGGUACUCUGGGGAUAACAGGCUGAUACCGCCCAAGAGUUCAUAUCGACGGCGGUGUUUGGCACCUCGAUGUCGGCUCAUCUCAUCCUGGGGCUGUAGCCGGUCCCAAGGGUAUGGCUGUUCGCCAUUUAAAGAGGUACGUGAGCUGGGUUUAAAACGUCGUGAGACAGUUUGGUCCCUAUCUGCCGUGGGCGUUGGAUAUUUGAAGGGGGCUGCUCCUAGUACGAGAGGACCGGAGUGGACGAACCUCUGGUGUACCGGUUGUGACGCCAGUCGCAUCGCCGGGUAGCUAUGUUCGGAAGAGAUAACCGCUGAAAGCAUCUAAGCGGGAAACUCGCCUUAAGAUGAGAUAUCCCUGGAGGCUUGACCUCCUUGAAGGGUCGUUCGAGACCAGGACGUUGAUAGGUCGGGUGUGUAAGCGCAGUAAUGCGUUCAGCUAACCGAUACUAAUUGCCCGUAAGGCUUGAUCCU
This 2881-nucleotide ribosomal RNA is filed under the name Burkholderia multivorans. Its description in RNAcentral is "23S ribosomal RNA". It matches the Rfam family "Bacterial large subunit ribosomal RNA". The record is from RNAcentral. Lineage: Bacteria; Pseudomonadati; Pseudomonadota; Betaproteobacteria; Burkholderiales; Burkholderiaceae.